GAAUUUUAAUUGUCCAGUAAGAUAGUACCAGGAUAUAUGUGGAGAAAUCACUGGCAAUAUUAUAAGUGGCAAUCAUGAGUUGUCACUUCUGGUUGUUGUUGGCUUGGGUUUGCAGUGGUCCCAUACACAGCUGUUUGUAAAGUCAUAAGCCACGUGAUAGUGUCUGGAAACGUGUCAUUCUUGCAGCUCCUGUGCUUGAUAAAUGCCUGCAAAAUUCCAUCACACUUUUGCAUGGACCUGUUUGGGUCUCAGGGAGAGAAGGUUUCAGCCUCUUAAGAGGAAAGAUUUAUAUCCAAGAAGCUCUAUUGGCCCUGCACCAACGAUUACAAGUCUGCAAACUGUUGCAAGCCGAUGUGAAAUCUCUUCUGGAGGCAAGCGUUUCUUUAUGCUGAAAGGCUCACAUAUAUACAGAAGUUCAGUAUGACGUUGCUGGAUAUUUUCAGCUUUUAAGAGUCUUCAGCUGACAGGGAUAAAUGUACGUUUAUGUG
Lagopus leucura (white-tailed ptarmigan) is the source of this 488-nucleotide long non-coding RNA. RefSeq lists it as uncharacterized. The record is from RefSeq and is a predicted model, not a curated record. NCBI's taxonomy places the organism in Eukaryota, Metazoa, Chordata, Aves, Galliformes, Phasianidae. The transcript is spliced from 4 exons.